RNAcentral lists this ribosomal RNA (449 nucleotides) under uncultured cyanobacterium. RNAcentral's name for it is "bacterial SSU rRNA". It matches the Rfam family "Bacterial small subunit ribosomal RNA", at positions 28 to 524 of the family's 1533-position model. The record is from RNAcentral. Lineage: Bacteria; Bacillati; Cyanobacteriota.
GAUGAACGCUGGCGGUAUGCUUAACACAUGCAAGUCGAACGGUCACUUCGGUGAUAGUGGCGGACGGGUGAGUAACGCGUGAGAAUCUGUCUUCAGGUCGGGGACAACAGUUAGAAAUGACUGCUAAUACCGGAUAUGCCUUAUGGUGAAGGAUUUAUUGCCUGAAAAAGAGCUCGCGUCAGAUUAGCUAGUAGGUGGUGUAAGAGACUACCUAGGCGACGAUCUGUAGCUGGUCUGAGAGGACGAUCAGCCACACUGGAACUGAGACACGGUCCAGACUCCUACGGGAGGCAGCAGUGGGGAAUUUUCCGCAAUGGGCGAAAGCCUGACGGAGCAAUACCGCGUGAGGGACGAAGGCUUUUGGGUCGUAAACCUCUUUUCUCAAGGAAGAUAAUGACGGUACUUGAGGAAUAAGCAUCGGCUAACUCUGUGCCAGCAGCCGCGGUAAU